GUCGGCGCAGCAGGCAGGCGAGCGGAGCUCACUCCCCCCUCCCACCCUCGCCGGUUUCCUCCCAAGAAGAGAAGAUGUCCGCCGUCCCCUCCAGGUAUGAAGAGAUUUCCUUGGCCCCUUCGCGCGCCAUUGCCGCCUCUCCCCCGCGCUUCUUGUUCCGGGCGAGUUCCGAGGUUUCCCUUGCUUAGACGAAUCUGCUCCGUCGUUCCGGGAGGAGGAGGGGGGAGGGGGUGGUUGCGGGAAACGAACGUCCUUUUUGCCACGAAAGGUGGUGGUUGCGGUGCUCCUUGCCGCGGUUCUUGGGGACCGCCAGCGUCGCUAAUGCGGUGCCGCGCUGUUCCUUGUGUCGGUGGAGCCAGAUUCCGGUGGGAUUUCCGCAGAUUCGUCUUUCCCGGGGCUUCGACCUGUGAGAUGCGGGCAGGGAUUGGGCUUUUUAGAGCUGAUUCAAGGUGUAGGUUGUACUAUGUGAGAAGGACAGCUGUGCACAUCAAGACUCAAAUUAGCUUCGCUUGAUUACACUUCAGCUGGCUGAAUAAUAAUAUAUACUUGAUUUUGGUGGUUCAAAAACAUGGGUUCUAGAUUUCCAUCACAUCAGCUGAGCAGUGGCCUUUAUGUUUCUGGCCGACCUGAGCAACCUAAGGAGAAGGCCCCGACCUUUGGAUCCAAUGUGAUGCCAUAUACUGGUGGUGACACCAAGAAAUCUGGAGAGCUUGGGAAGAUGUUUGAGCUCCAUGCUGAAAGAUCCAGAAAAUCUGGUCCUCUAGGCAGUGCGCCUUCGAGAAAUCCUUCAUUUGGUGGUGCUGCCUCCAACUCUGGACCUGUGUCUAAUGCUGGCGGUCGGUCAAACUACUCUGGUUCUCUUUCAUCUUCAGUUCCUGGCGCCGGAGGAUCAGCAAGAGCAAAAUCUAACUCCGGACCACUCAAUAAGCAUGGAGAACCAGUAAAGCGGUCAUCUGGUCCCCAGUCUGGAGGUGUGACCCCAAUGGCUCGCCAGAAUUCCGGCCCUCUCCCUCCAAUGCUUCCUAUGACUGGGCUUAUCACAUCUGGCCCUGUUACUUCUGGACCACUGAAUUCGUCUGGUGCCCCAAGAAGGAAAGUAUCUGGAUCUCUUGAUCCUGCUGCAUCGAUGAAGGCGCGGGCCACAUCGCUUGCUCACAACCAGGCUGUUACUACACUCACCAGUGAAGGUGGUUUCUCAGUUAUGGGAAGCAUUUCAAAGUGGGUAUUCUGGCUAGUGAUCACACUCUUGCUGUUCGGGUUUGCAGUAGGUCUCUUCAUUCUUAUUGCUGUUCACAAUGCGAUUGUGCUGAUAGUUGUUGUUGCAAUGAUUGGUUCUGUUGCUGCACUUGUGUCUUGGAAUGUUUGGCGGGGCAGGAGAGGCGUGCUCAGGUUUGUCAAUAGCUGUCCUGAUACUGAUCUCAGAACUGCAAAGGAUGGAGAGUAUGUGAAGGUUACAGGGGUUGUUACGUGUGGAAAUUUCCCCCUGGAGUCCUCAUUUCAAAGGAUUCCGAGAUGUGUGUACACUUCAACUAGGCUGUAUGAGUAUAGGGGCUGGGAUUCAAAAACUGCAAACCCCAAGCAUCGCCGGUUUACCUGGGGAUUACGGACAGCAGAGCGACAUGCGGUUGAUUUCUACAUUUCAGAUUUCCAGUCUGGGCUUCGAGCAUUGGUGAGAACAGGAAGUGGGGCACGGGUGACACCAUAUGUUGAUGAAUCGGUAGUAAUUGACGUCAAUCCUGAGAACAAGGACAUGUCUCCUGAAUUUCUUAGAUGGCUACGAGAAAGGAACCUCUCAAGUGAUGGUCGGAAAAUGCGCCUAAAAGAAGGAUACAUCAAGGAAGGCAGCACUGUGAGCGUGAUGGGGGUCGUUCAAAAGAAUGAGAGCGUGUUGAUGAUAGUACCUCCAUCAGAGCCCAUCUCAUCUGGUUGCCAGUGGGGGAGUUGUUUCUUCCCAGCGAACCUUGAAGGACUGGUCGUGAGAUGCGAAGAUACUUCAGACAUGGAUGUCAUACCAGUAUAGCAAGCUGAUGAUUGCCGUGGUGUGGAAUAGCUGCUGUUGAAGAGGGAAUGUUGGCCUGUCGAAUCUUUUGACCUCGGGUUGGGUUUGAUUGGUAGAGUAUUAGAACUGAGAAAAAAUGUACAAAUGUUAGGUGUGAUUAAGGCUAGUAAAGAUGGGAGUAUGGCUGCUGGUUAAUCUGUGUUUGGCUGUAUAGUCCUUUUUCAAUGUGUUUUGUCCUCCUUUGCUCCUGUUUUUUCGGUUAUGAGCUCUCAAUACUUGUGUAAUAUGAUUGCUUUUGGGCUGUUUGAAGACAUGUUGAAUCGGGUUUAUGUGUUAUUUAGGAUGAUCUUCUUGCACUGCUGUUAAAGCCUAAAUAUAUUGUUGCUGUUACAUUUAUGUAUCCAUGUUGUUGGUCCAUUGCAUCCAUUAUGUCUUUUGGCCUGUUUGAAGACUCGGU
Molecule: ribosomal RNA, 2456 nt
Filed under: Triticum aestivum (bread wheat)
Lineage: Eukaryota; Viridiplantae; Streptophyta; Magnoliopsida; Poales; Poaceae
Description: partial small subunit ribosomal RNA
Source: RNAcentral